GAUGAAGAACGCAGCGAAAUGCGAUAAGUAAUGUGAAUUGCAGAAUUCAGUGAAUCAUCGAAUCUUUGAACGCACAUUGCGCCCGCCAGUAUUCUGGCGGGCAUGCCUGUUCGAGCGUCAUUACAACCCUCAGGCCCCCGGGCCUGGCGUUGGGGAUCGGCGGAAGCCCCCUGCGGGCACAACGCCGUCCCCCAAAUACAGUGGCGGUCCCGCCGCAGCUUCCAUUGCGUAGUAGCUAACACCUCGCAACUGGAGAGCGGCGCGGCCACGCCGUAAAACACCCAACUUCUGAAUGUUGACCUCGAAUCAGGUAGGAAUACCCGCUGAACUUAAGCAUAUCAAUAGCGGAGGA
RNAcentral lists this unclassified non-coding RNA (352 nucleotides) under soil metagenome. RNAcentral describes it as "partial contains 5.8S ribosomal RNA, internal transcribed spacer 2, and large subunit ribosomal RNA". The stretch from base 1 to 120 matches the Rfam family "5.8S ribosomal RNA", at positions 35 to 154 of the family's 154-position model. The record is from RNAcentral.